GAGAGAGAUUUUUACAGUUGUUUUCCAACAAUUCAUUGUUAAAAUAAAUAACUCUGAUUGGAGGGAUGAUUCAAUAAACAAGAAAGUAUCAGUUAAAAUGACAGUUCUCUUACGUGCCAAAUGAUGUUGGACGAGAAUGACGAUGUUGUUUCCUUCUUUAACUGUAGAGGACGAUCAUAAUGUUGAAUGGUGGAGAUGUAUGGUAUAGAUGAACGGUAGUGACGCAGAUUGGAGAUGAACGGCACAAUCAACUGUGGAUAUGAAUGACGGAGAGGUACGAUGUAGGUAAACAUUGGAACGCACGCUGGAGAUAAAUGGCGGAGAUGCUCAGUGUAGGUGAUCGGUGGAGAUGCACAUUGGAGAUGAAUGGCGGAGACACCAUAAGAAAUCGCAAACCUACAGAUCUAUCUUUUGAUGGAGCCCUCUCUCGAAUUGAGCUAAAGAUCAUAUAUAACUCCGUUUCAACUUUUCAUUUCUAUACUUUUUCCUUUUUGGGAAAGACAAAAUGUUUAUCCUUACCAAGAAAGUGAUGUAAUAUAUAUAAUUCAAUACAUUUGUCCUACAUUUUAUCUUCCUGCUUAGGUAACUUAUUGUUGUCGG
RNAcentral lists this long non-coding RNA (600 nucleotides) under Androctonus crassicauda. The record is from RNAcentral. Lineage: Eukaryota; Metazoa; Arthropoda; Arachnida; Scorpiones; Buthidae.